Corvus hawaiiensis (hawaiian crow) is the source of this 522-nucleotide long non-coding RNA. RefSeq lists it as uncharacterized. The transcript is spliced from 4 exons. The record is from RefSeq and is a predicted model, not a curated record. Lineage: Eukaryota; Metazoa; Chordata; Aves; Passeriformes; Corvidae.
GCCUGACUGAGUCAUGGAAGCUACUGACACCACAGCCUGCUUGAAGGAGGGACCUAAUACUUAAUAGAAACUGGCAGGGGUUUUUGACAGAAGAGACCCUUCAUCAAACCAGGAAGUCAUCUGGAACUCAAACAGAAAUCCAUUUUGAGCUUUCCUACCUAGACUAAUAGCUGAACCUAAAGCAUUACUUUGAAUUUAAGCCAUCUAAUCAUGUAGUACCUUCUACUAGAAAAAUCCCUUGUCUGAAGCAGAGUUUUAGCUCCUGUGCUCCUUUGUGCAACAUACCUUGGAGAGCUGAAGCAAAAUGGAAGUGACGAGGCGGAGACAAGUAAAGGCACUUCUCCUACAGGGAAGUGGGAAAUGAGGCUACAGUCCCCUUGUAGCUGUAGCUCCAGAUCCUCCUCUGCCUCAAGAUGAUCCCACAACAGGUAUGAUCAGAAUGUUUUCUCCAUGAUCUUACCUCACGUACCCGUGACAGACCCCUGUGACUGGCCCUUCAAGUUUGCAUUUCACAAGGUGCCC